CACCAGACUCCUACGGGAGGCAGCAGUGGGGGAUAUUGCACAAUGGGGGGAACCCUGAUGCAGCGACGCCGCGUGGGUGAAGAAGUAUUUCGGUAUGUAAAGCCCUAUCGGCAGGGAAGAAAUUGGACGGUACCUGACUAAGAAGCCCUGGCUAACUACGUGCCAGCAGCCGCGGUAAUACGUAGGGGGCAAGCGUUAUCCGGAUUCACGGGGUGUAAAGGGAGCGUAGACGGCCAUGCAAGCCUGGAGUGAAAGCCCGGGGCCCAACCCCGGGACUGCUCUGGGAACUGUGCGGCUGGAGUGCGGGAGGGGCAGGCGGAAUUCCUGGUGUAGCGGUGAAAUGCGUAGAUAUCAGGAGGAACACCGGCGGCGAAGGCGGCCUGCUGGACCGCGACUGACGUUGAGGCUCGAAAGCGUGGGGAGCAAACAGGAUUAGAUACCCGAGUAA
Molecule: ribosomal RNA, 448 nt
Filed under: uncultured bacterium
Lineage: Bacteria
Description: bacterial SSU rRNA
Rfam family: Bacterial small subunit ribosomal RNA
Source: RNAcentral